Molecule: long non-coding RNA, 1324 nt
Filed under: Coturnix japonica (Japanese quail)
Lineage: Eukaryota; Metazoa; Chordata; Aves; Galliformes; Phasianidae
Description: lncRNA (ENSCJPG00005001639.1)
Source: RNAcentral
AUAGGGGAGGGUCCAAUGGUGGGGGGGGUCUCAUUGUCCCCAUGGGGGGGUCCCUGUUCCCCCCCCCCCAGGUGGAGUUCCAUCUGUGUAUCCGUGUGGGGGGCACCGUCAGUUCCUGCAGCCAUGGCCAGGAGAGCGCAUGGGUCCUGGAUGGGCUGCGGCUGCGGGUUCAGAGCCGACACUUCAUGCGGUUCCCGGCAGCUGGUUCUGACCCAUUUGGAGCCAACAUUGAGCUGCAGCCGAUCCCUGUUGGGCCGGGCAGUGAAGGAGCUGCUGCACCCACUGCUGGAUGGGGUGACAAGGAGGAAUAGGGUGACCCCAUAGGGACACAUAGAGACCCAUAGAUACCCCAUAGGGACCCAUAGAGACCCAUUGAGACCCCAUUGAGAGCCAUUGAGACCCCAUAGGGACACACAGGGACCUGCUGCACCCGCUGCUGGAUGGGGUGACAAGGAGGAAUAGGGUGACCCCAUAGAGACCCCAUAGAGAUCCACUGAGACCCAUAGAUACCCAUAGAGACCCAUAGAGACCCAUAGAGACCCAUAGAGACCCAUAGAGAUCCAUAGGAGCCCAUAGAGACCCAUAGAGACCCCAUAGAGACNCCCAUAGAGACCCAUAGAGACCCAUAGAGAUCCAUAGGAGCCCAUAGAGACCCAUAGAGACCCCAUAGAGACACAUAGACCUCAUAGAGACCCACUGAGAUCCAUUGAGACCCAUUGAGACCCAUAGAGACCCAUAGAUACCCAUAGAGACCCAUUGAGAUCCAUUGAGACCCCAUAGAGACCCAUAGAGACCCCAUAGAGACCCCAUUGAGACCCAUUGAGACCCCAUAGAGACCCAUAGAGACCCAUAGGGAUCCAUAGGAGCCCAUAGGGACACACAGGGACCUGCUGCACCCACUGCUGGAUGGGGUGACAAGGAGGAAUAGGGUGACCCCAUAGAGACCCCAUAGAGACCCAUAGAGACCCAUUGGGAUCCAUAGAGACCCAUUGAGACCCAUUGAGACCCCAUUGAGAUCCAUAGAGAGCCAUUGAGAGCCCAUAGGGACACACAGGGACCUGCUGCACCCGCUGCUGGAUGGGGUGACAAGGAGGAAUAGGGUGACCCCAUAGAGACCCCAUAGUACCCCAUAAAUACCCCAUAGGGACCCAUAGGGACCCCAUAGGGAUCCAUUGAGAUCCAUAGAGACCCAUAGGGAUCCAUAGAGACCCAUAGAGAUCCCAUAGAGACCCAUUGAGAGCCAUUGAGACCCCAUAGGGACACACAGGGACCUGCUGCACCCACUGCUGGAUGGGGUGACAAGGAGGAAUAGGGUGACCCCAUA